CUUACUGGAGGCAGCAGUGGGGAAUUUUGGACAAUGGGCGCAAGCCUGAUCCAGCAAUGCCGCGUGCAGGAUGAAGGCCUUCGGGUUGUAAACUGCUUUUGUACGGAGCGAAACGGUCUACUCUAAUACAGUGGGCUAAUGACGGUACCGUAAGAAUAAGCACCGGCUAACUACGUGCCAGCAGCCGCGGUAAUACGUAGGGUGCGAGCGUUAAUCGGAAUUACUGGGCGUAAAGCGUGCGCAGGCGGUUAUAUAAGACAGAUGUGAAAUCCCCGGGCUCAACCUGGGACCUGCAUUUGUGACUGUAUAGCUAGAGUGCGGCAGAGGGGGAUGGAAUUCCGCGUGUAGCAGUGAAAUGCGUAGAUAUGCGGAGGAACACCGAUGGCGAAGGCAAUCCCCUGGGCCUGCACUGACGCUCAUGCACGAAAGCGUGGGGAGCAAACAGGAUUAGAUACCCUGGUAGUCCACGCCCUAAACGAUGUCAACUGGUUGUUGGGUCUUCACUGACUCAGUAACAAAGCUAACGCGUGAAGUUGACCGCCUGGGGAGUACGGCCGCGAAGGUUGAAACUCAAAGGAAUUGACGG
RNAcentral lists this ribosomal RNA (586 nucleotides) under uncultured bacterium. RNAcentral describes it as "bacterial SSU rRNA". It matches the Rfam family "Bacterial small subunit ribosomal RNA", at positions 338 to 916 of the family's 1533-position model. The record is from RNAcentral.